This 207-nucleotide ribosomal RNA is filed under the name uncultured bacterium. RNAcentral describes it as "partial 16S ribosomal RNA". It matches the Rfam family "Bacterial small subunit ribosomal RNA", at positions 568 to 774 of the family's 1533-position model. The record is from RNAcentral.
CGCGUAGGCGGCCUGCUAAGUCUGGAGUGAAAGUCCUGCUUUCAAGGUGGGAAUUGCUUUGGAUACUGGUGGGCUGGAGUGCAGGAGAGGAAAGCGGAAUUACCGGUGUAGCGGUGAAAUGCGUAGAGAUCGGUAGGAACACCAGUGGCGAAGGCGGCUUUCUGGACUGAAACUGACACUGAGGCUCGAAAGCGUGGGGAGCAAACA